GCGGCCCUACGGGGCGCAGCAGUGAGGAAUAUUGGUCAAUGGGCGGAAGCCUGAACCAGCCAAGUCGCGUGAGGGAAUAAGGCCCUACGGGUCGUAAACCUCUUUUGCCGGGGAGCAAGGGCGGGGACGUGUCCCGGCCCGGAGAGUACCCGGAGAAAAAGCAUCGGCUAACUCCGUGCCAGCAGCCGCGGUAAUACGGAGGAUGCGAGCGUUAUCCGGAUUUAUUGGGUUUAAAGGGUGCGUAGGCGGGGUUUUAAAUCAGAGGUAAAAAUUCGGGGCUCAACCCCGUCC
RNAcentral lists this ribosomal RNA (291 nucleotides) under uncultured bacterium. Its description in RNAcentral is "partial 16S ribosomal RNA". It matches the Rfam family "Bacterial small subunit ribosomal RNA", at positions 333 to 620 of the family's 1533-position model. The record is from RNAcentral.